AUACGCUUUUAUGAAGAAGUGGGUUUUUAACGAUUUAUUGAAGGAGUGGAGACUGAGUGAGCAUCUAACGGAGGAGGGAAGCGAGUUCCACAGGAAAUCUCAAAUCUUGAAGGCGAGCAUCAGAGAUGGGAGUAUGGACAGAAGAUAGACGUAAGUCUUCAGCAGAUCGUAAGGGCCUAAAUGGGACAUACUUGUGUAUAAGGGAGGAUAGGAAGCCAAUGUAGGGACUGACAGAAGGGUGAGGCAUGGGAGGUGUGGGCGGACAGGAAGAUGAGCCUCGCCGCCGCAUUCAUUAUGGACUGUAACGGCGCAAGUUGGGAGCACGUAAAACCACUGAGAAGCGGUACCUUCAGGCUUGUUGCUGUCUUUUCAGAGAAAAUGCAGUGUUUACAUUACAGCCAGUGAUAACUUCACUGGCCACUCCUCAGAUGGCUGUUAGAGAUCCUUCCUGGGUCAUGCCUGUCUAAAAUGCAUCCAAACAUUCAAUAUCUCCUCCCUCUGAAUGCAGGCACUGAACUUUCCUCAUUAAUUGAUUCAAUUCAUCUCUAUGAGGAGAUGCUGAUUGGGGUCAGGGCUGUGUUUGAAUAAUGCUGGCUCUGCCCCUGAUCUGCCUCUUUGUCAGUCUCAGCCAAUCCUAUGGGGAAGCACUGUGAUUGGAUCAGUCUACCACUUCUGAUGAUGUCAGCAGACUGCUUGUUUUUUUGAGGCAAACAGCAUGCAGAGUUACAGCUUCUGACUUGAAUACAGUAAGAUUUUGCUAUAUUUAUGGAGACAUGAGAGGCCCAAGGGGGAUAGAUGGUGGUUUUAACACUAUAGGGUCAGUAAUACAUGUUUGGUAAAAUGAGUGUCAUUGAGUCAUUCUAUAGGACAUAAAUAGCAUUUACAGGCACGCUAAGGCAAGAUCAAAUUUUAAUUUAUUCUUUCUGUUAAAACACUUGAUUAUUUGUUUCUCUAAACUGAUUUUAUUGUAUUUUUCUUACAC
Molecule: non-coding RNA, 982 nt
Organism: Pelobates cultripes (western spadefoot toad)
Lineage: Eukaryota; Metazoa; Chordata; Amphibia; Anura; Pelobatidae
Source: the annotation of a GenBank genome assembly